Molecule: ribosomal RNA, 235 nt
Filed under: uncultured bacterium
Lineage: Bacteria
Description: partial 16S ribosomal RNA
Rfam family: Bacterial small subunit ribosomal RNA
Source: RNAcentral
UGAGGAACAUGACCUUCGGCGGGGGAUAGCCGGCCCAACGGCCGGGUAAUACCGCGUACGACCACUCGGGGACAUCCCCAGGUGGUGAAAGCAGCAAUGCGUCCGAUGGAGUGCCUCGCGGCCUAUCAGCUAGUUGGUGAGGUAACGGCUCACCAAGGCGACGACGGGUAGCUGGUCUGAGAGGAUGGCCAGCCACAUUGGGACUGAGACACGGCCCAGACUCCUACGGGAGCAG